This 867-nucleotide ribosomal RNA is filed under the name uncultured Clostridia bacterium. RNAcentral describes it as "bacterial SSU rRNA". It matches the Rfam family "Bacterial small subunit ribosomal RNA", at positions 27 to 896 of the family's 1533-position model. The record is from RNAcentral. Lineage: Bacteria; Bacillati; Bacillota; Clostridia.
GGACGAACGCUGGCGGCGUGCCUAACACAUGCAAGUCGAGCGGGGUUGAAGCGAGGGGUAACUCGGACUUCUACCUAGCGGCGGACGGGUGAGUAACGCGUGGGCAACCUGCCUCAAGGUUUGGGAUAACAGCUCGAAAGGGCUGCUAAUACCGGAUACGCUCAUCUAGUCAAAAGAAUAGAUGAGGAAAAGGGGAAACCCGCAGACAGAUGGGUCCGCGUCCCAUUAGCUAGUUGGAGGUGUAAGAGACCCCCAAGGCGACGAUGGGUAGCCGGCCUGAGAGGGUGACCGGCCACACUGGAACUGAGACACGGUCCAGACUCCUACGGGAGGCAGCAGUGGGGAAUCUUCCGCAAUGGGCGCAAGCCUGACGGAGCAACGCCGCGUGAGUGAAGAAGGCCUUCGGGUUGUAAAACUCUGUCAUCAGGGAAGAAGAAAGUGACGGUACCUGAGGAGGAAGCCCCGGCUAACUACGUGCCAGCAGCCGCGGUAAAACGUAGGGGGCGAGCGUUGUCCGGAAUUACUGGGCGUAAAGGGCGCGUAGGCGGUUAUCCAAGUCAGGGGUGAAAACCUUGGGCUCAACUCAGGGCCUGCCUCUGAAACUGGUAACUUGAGGGCAGGAGAGGGGAGUGGAAUUCCCAGUGUAGCGGUGAAAUGCGUAGAUAUUGGGAGGAACACCAGUGGCGAAGGCGGCUCUCUGGCCUAACCCUGACGCUGAGGCGCGAAAGCGUGGGGAUCAAACAGGAUUAGAUACCCUGGUAGUCCACGCCGUAAACGAUGGGUGCUAGGUGUAGGAGGUAUCGACCCCUUCUGUGCCGUAGUUAACACAAUAAGCACCCCGCCUGGGGAGUACGGCCGCCAAGGUUG